This 456-nucleotide ribosomal RNA is filed under the name uncultured bacterium. RNAcentral describes it as "bacterial SSU rRNA". It matches the Rfam family "Bacterial small subunit ribosomal RNA", at positions 28 to 501 of the family's 1533-position model. The record is from RNAcentral.
GACGAACGCUGGCGGCGUGCCUAACACAUGCAAGUCGAACGAGGUCCAUCCUUCGGGAGAAGACCUAGUGGCGAACGGGUGAGUAACACGUGAGGAACCUGCCCCGAAGACCGGGAUAACCCUCCGAAAGGAGAGCUAAUACCGGAUACCCCCACCGAACCGCAUGGUUUGGUGAGGAAAUGGAUUCCGCUUCGGGAGGGCCUCGUGGCCUAUCAGCUAGUUGGUGGGGUAACGGCCCACCAAGGCAUCGACGGGUAGCUGGUCUGAGAGGACGAUCAGCCACACUGGGACUGAGACACGGCCCAGACUCCUACGGGAGGCAGCAGUGGGAAGUCUUGCGCAAUGGGCGAAAGCCUGACGCAGCAACGCCGCGUGGGGAUGAAGGCUCUCGGGUUGUAAACCCCCUUUCAGCAGGGACGAAUCAAGACGGUACCUGCAGAAGAAGCCCCGGCUAAC